UUUACUUGUCCCCGGACAAGUCAGCUUUCAAAAACUGCUUGUCCGGAAGGGGAAAUUGACGACACGGACAACUCGGACAGCAUAUUUCAGAACCCCUGGGCUAAGCCUAUUGCGUAUUAUUGCGAGUUAUUUUAUUUUUUUGUGAAAACGAAGUGAAAACGAAGUUUACGCCGAUGCCAACACAUUAAUCUGCAAAAUCUUGUUAACUUAUUUCAGUGUUGGCCCUCGCUGGUCAGAAACUCAACCAAACGCCUACAACUGCCCGACAGGAAACUCGUGGUAACAUAAGCAUCGGCUUCAUUGCGUUAGCGUCCGUAUCGUCCGUAGUUGGACUUCUGGCGGUCAUCUUAGUCGUUUAUAUUUGCCUUAUUAGAAAGAAACGUCGAUCGUCUGCUGGUCAACACAGUGAAGUAACAGAAAGAUCACAACUCGCCAUAGAACAUCCUUAUGACCAAUGUUCUGCACGCGCUUCACGCGAAGUCCAUUAGUACGAUUACGUCAUCGCUGCAGACGAUGACGGCUACCUAGAUAUGACAGCGGGUUCUCAUACUGCAACAUUCAAGUGCUAAGAUGUUUUAUAGGACAGCGGAGCAUUGAAUCAGACAACACUUUUCCUCAGAAGUUGAAGCCCAAUAUAUAUUUUUUGAAACAUUUUGGCAAUCAAAUUAUUAUUAGUGACUGUAUAGUAAAUGGUUUACAA
Long non-coding RNA from Dreissena polymorpha, 700 nucleotides. RefSeq lists it as uncharacterized. Lineage: Eukaryota; Metazoa; Mollusca; Bivalvia; Myida; Dreissenidae. The record is from RefSeq and is a predicted model, not a curated record. The transcript is spliced from 4 exons.